GACGUAGGGCGCGAGCGUUGUCCGGAUUUAUUGGGCCUAAAGCAUCCGUAGCCGGUUCUACAAGUCUUCCGUUAAAUCCACCUGCUUAACAGAUGGGCUGCGGAAGAUACUAUAGAGCUAGGAGGCGGGAGAGGCAAGCGGUACUCGAUGGGUAGGGGUAAAAUCCGUUGAUCCAUUGAAGAACACCAGUGGCGAAGGCGGCUUGCCAGAACGCGCUCGACGGUGAGGGAUGAAAGCUGGGGGAGCAAACAGG
This 253-nucleotide ribosomal RNA is filed under the name uncultured bacterium. Its description in RNAcentral is "partial 16S ribosomal RNA". It matches the Rfam family "Bacterial small subunit ribosomal RNA", at positions 524 to 776 of the family's 1533-position model. The record is from RNAcentral.